GAUGAACGCUGGCGGCGUGCCUAAUACAUGCAAGUCGAGCGGUAAGGCCCCUUCGGGGGUACACGAGCGGCGGACGGCUGAGUAACACGUAGGAACGUACCCCAAAGUGAGGGAUAAGCACCAGAAAUGGUGUCUAAUACCGCAUGUGCUCUAAGGAGUAAAGCUUCGGCGCUUUGGGAACGGCCUGCGCAUGAUUAGCUUGUUGGUGAGGUAAUGGCUCACCAAGGCGACGAUCAUUAGCUGGUCUGAGAGGAUGACCAGCCAGACUGGGACUGGGAACGGCCCAGACUCCUACGGGAGGCAGCAGUAGGGAAUUUUGGACAAUGGGCGCAAGCCUGAUCCAGCCAUUCCGCGUGCAGGAUGAAGGCCCUCGGGUUGUAAGCUGCUUUUGUACGGAACGAAAAGGCUCUGGUUAAUACCUGGGGCUCAUGACGGUACCGUAAGAAUAAGCACCGGC
RNAcentral lists this ribosomal RNA (457 nucleotides) under uncultured bacterium. RNAcentral describes it as "partial 16S ribosomal RNA". It matches the Rfam family "Bacterial small subunit ribosomal RNA", at positions 28 to 497 of the family's 1533-position model. The record is from RNAcentral.